GAUCAUGGCUCAGGAUGAACGCUAGCGACAGGCUUAACACAUGCAAGUCGAGGGGCAGCACGGGAGUAGCAAUACUUGGUGGCGACCGGCGCACGGGUGAGUAACGCGUAUGCAACCUACCUAUCAGGAGGGGAAUAACCCGGCGAAAGUCGGACUAAUACCGCAUAAAACAGGGGCACCGCAUGGUGAUAUUUGUUAAAGAAAUUCGCUGAUAGAUGGGCAUGCGUUCCAUUAGGUAGUUGGUGAGGUAACGGCUCACCAAGCCGACGAUGGAUAGGGGAACUGAGAGGUUGGUCCCCCACACUGGUACUGAGACACGGACCAGACUCCUACGGGAGGCAGCAGUGGGGAAUAUUGGUCAAUGGGCGGGAGCCUGAACCAGCCAAGUCGCCGUGAAGGAAGAAGGAUCUAUGGUUCGUAAACUUCUUUUGCAGGGGAAUAAAGUGCGGGACGUGUCCUGUUUUGUAUGUACCCUGAGAAUAAGGAUCGGCUAACUCCGUGCCAGCCGCUGC
This 512-nucleotide ribosomal RNA is filed under the name uncultured bacterium. RNAcentral's name for it is "bacterial SSU rRNA". It matches the Rfam family "Bacterial small subunit ribosomal RNA", at positions 15 to 518 of the family's 1533-position model. The record is from RNAcentral.